GGCGGCGUAGCCAAGUGGUAAGGCAGUGGACUGCAAAUCCACCAUGCAUCGGUUCAAAUCCGAUCGCCGCCUCCA
This 75-nucleotide transfer RNA is filed under the name Candidatus Fermentibacterota bacterium. RNAcentral's name for it is "tRNA-Cys". It matches the Rfam family "tRNA". Rfam says of the family: Transfer RNA (tRNA) molecules are approximately 80 nucleotides in length. Their secondary structure includes four short double-helical elements and three loops (D, anti-codon, and T loops). RNAcentral also lists the same sequence under 2 other names. The record is from RNAcentral. Lineage: Bacteria; Pseudomonadati; Candidatus Fermentibacterota.